RNAcentral lists this ribosomal RNA (227 nucleotides) under uncultured bacterium. RNAcentral describes it as "partial 16S ribosomal RNA". It matches the Rfam family "Bacterial small subunit ribosomal RNA", at positions 94 to 334 of the family's 1533-position model. The record is from RNAcentral.
AGUGGCGCACGGGUGAGUAACGCGUGGGGAUCUGCCCUGAGGUCUGGGACAACCGCUGGAAACGGCGGCUAAUACCGGAUGAUGCCCCUUCGGGGGCCAAAGAUUUAUCGCCUUGGGAUGAGCCCGCGUCCGAUUAGCUAGUUGGUGAGGUAACGGCUCACCAAGGCAUCGAUCGGUAGCUGGUCUGAGAGGACGAUCAGCCACACUGGGACUGAGACACGGCCCAG